AGACACGGACCAAACUCNUACGGGAGGCAGCAGUGAGGAAUAUUGGUCAAUGGGCGAGAGCCUGAACCAGCCAAGUAGCGUGCAGGAUGACUGCCCUAUGGGUUGUAAACUGCUUUUAUGCGGGAAUAAAGUGCACCACGUGUGGUGUUUUGUAUGUACCGCAUGAAUAAGGACCGGCUAAUUCCGUGCCAGCAGCCGCGGUAAUACGGAAGGUCCGGGCGUUAUCCGGAUUUAUUGGGUUUAAAGGGAGCGCAGGCGGGAUAUUAAGCGUGACGUGAAAUGUAGCCGCUCAACGGCUGAACUGCGUCGCGAACUGGUAUUCUUGAGUGAGUUCGAUGUAGGCGGAAUUCGUGGUGUAGCGGUGAAAUGCUUAGAUAUCACGAAGAACUCCGAUUGCGAAGGCAGCCUACAAGGCCUUUACUGACGCUAAAGCUCGAAGGUGCGGGUAUCGAACAGGAUUAGAUACCCUGGUAGUCCGCACGGUAAACGAUGGAUGCCCGCUGUUCGCGAUAUACUGUGAGCGGCCAAGAGAAAUCGUUAAGCAUCCCACCUGGGGAGUACGCCGGCAACGGUGAAACUCAAAGGAAUUGACG
This 593-nucleotide ribosomal RNA is filed under the name uncultured bacterium. RNAcentral's name for it is "bacterial SSU rRNA". It matches the Rfam family "Bacterial small subunit ribosomal RNA", at positions 322 to 915 of the family's 1533-position model. The record is from RNAcentral.